RNAcentral lists this long non-coding RNA (301 nucleotides) under Salvator merianae (Argentine black and white tegu). RNAcentral's name for it is "lncRNA (ENSSMRG00000006480.1)". The record is from RNAcentral. Lineage: Eukaryota; Metazoa; Chordata; Lepidosauria; Squamata; Teiidae.
CUCGUUUCUUCUUUCCAGUGAUGCUCCUGCUUCUAGCUGCAGCAGUUGGCUUGAGUAAUUCUGAUUACGGAUGGGGCUGUGCAAACUAUAGAGGAUAUUGCCGCAAAACGUGCUUCCCACAAGAAAAGCCGCUGGGUCAAGAGGAUUGUCCUGAAGACCAGAUCUGUUGUGUAUCAGGUCCCUUAGGUUGGCAAUCUGGAUGAAGUGCAGUGAUUUGGCCAUGAAGAACCCUGCUUGAGCCAGAGGAGGAAAUCAACAGCAGGUUGUUACUGCAAGGGGCCGGCAAACAAUAAAACAUUUC